UGAGGAACAACCUCGGGAAACUGAGGAUAAUUCCUCAUAGGUGAGAAUUUCUGGAAUGAGUCUCAUUGAAAGAUUCUUUCCUGUUGCUGGAAAGAAUGCCUAAAGAAGGGUCUGCGGUGGAUUAGGUAGAUGUUGAGGUAACGGCUCAACAUGCCUAUAAUCCGUAUCGGCUAUGGGAGUAGGAGCCGGGAGAUGGACACUGAGACAAAGGUCCAGGCCCUACGGGGCGCAGCAGGCACGAAAACUCCACAAUGCGCGCAAGCGUGAUGGGGGAACUCCAAGUGCUUCUCAAAAGAGGAGCUUUUGUGGUAUGUAAAAAGUACCACGAAUAAGGGCUGGGUAAGACUGGUGCCAGCCUCCGCGGUAAAGCCAGCAGCUCGAGUGGUAGCCGCUGCUAUUGGGCUUAAAGCGUCCGUAGCCGGUCUAGUAAGUUCUCUGUGAAAUCCUUAGGCUUAACCUAAGGGCUGGCAGAGAAUACUGUUAGACUUGGAGCCGGGAGAGGUUGAGGGAAUUCCAGGGGUAGUAGUGAAAUGCUAUAAUCCUCGGAGGACCACCAAUGACGAAAGCACUCAACCAAAACGGUCUCGACGGUGAGGGACGAAAGCUAGGGUACCGAACCGGAUUAGAUACCCGGGUAGUCCUAGCCGCAAACGUUGCGGACUUAGUUCUUCUCGAACUUCGAGUUCGGGGAGAGCUGAAGGCAAACUGUCAAGUCCGCCGCCUGGGGAGUACGACCGCAAGGUUGAAACUUAAAGAAUUGGCGGGGG
RNAcentral lists this ribosomal RNA (767 nucleotides) under uncultured archaeon. Its description in RNAcentral is "bacterial SSU rRNA". It matches the Rfam family "Archaeal small subunit ribosomal RNA", at positions 120 to 874 of the family's 1478-position model. The record is from RNAcentral.